UACAGAGGGUGCAAGCGUUAAUCGGAAUUACUGGGCGUAAAGGGCUCGUAGGCGGCCAACUAAGUCGGAUGUGAAAUCCCCAGGCUUAACCUGGGAACUGCAUCCGAUACUGGAUGGCUUGAAUCCGGGAGAGGGAUGCAGAAUUCCAGGUGUAGCGGUGAAAUGCGUAGAUAUCUGGAGGAAUACCGGUGGCGAAGGCGGCAUCCUGGACCGGCAUUGACGCUGAUGAGCGAAAGCUAGGGGAGCAAACGGG
Molecule: ribosomal RNA, 253 nt
Filed under: uncultured bacterium
Lineage: Bacteria
Description: partial 16S ribosomal RNA
Rfam family: Bacterial small subunit ribosomal RNA
Source: RNAcentral